RNAcentral lists this ribosomal RNA (254 nucleotides) under uncultured bacterium. RNAcentral describes it as "partial 16S ribosomal RNA". It matches the Rfam family "Bacterial small subunit ribosomal RNA", at positions 79 to 334 of the family's 1533-position model. The record is from RNAcentral.
CUAAGUUUGAUGGCGACCGGCGCACGGGUGAGUAACACGUAUCCAACCUGCCGAUGACUCGGGGAUAGCCUUUCGAAAGAAAGAUUAAUACCCGAUGGCAUAGUUCUUCCGCAUGGUAGAACUAUUAAAGAAUUUCGGUCAUCGAUGGGGAUGCGUUCCAUUAGGUUGUUGGCGGGGUAACGGCCCACCAAGCCUUCGAUGGAUAGGGGUUCUGAGAGGAAGGUCCCCCACAUUGGAACUGGGACACGGUCCAA